This 497-nucleotide ribosomal RNA is filed under the name uncultured bacterium. Its description in RNAcentral is "partial 16S ribosomal RNA". It matches the Rfam family "Bacterial small subunit ribosomal RNA", at positions 28 to 507 of the family's 1533-position model. The record is from RNAcentral.
GAUGAACGCUGGCGGCGUGCCUAAUACAUGCAAGUCGAGCGAACAGACGAGGAGCUUGCUCCUCUGACGUUAGCGGCGGACGGGUGAGUAACACGUGGAUAACCUACCUAUAAGACUGGGAUAACUUCGGGAAACCGGAGCUAAUACCGGAUAAUAUAUUGAACCGCAUGGUUCAAUAGUGAAAGACGGUUUUGCUGUCACUUAUAGAUGGAUCCGCGCCGCAUUAGCUAGUUGGUAAGGUAACGGCUAACCAAGGCAACGAUGCGUAGCCGACCUGAGAGGGUGAUCGGCCACACUGGAACUGAGACACGGUCCAGACUCCUACGGGAGGCAGCAGUAGGGAAUCUUCCGCAAUGGGCGAAAGCCUGACGGAGCAACGCCGCGUGAGUGAUGAAGGUCUUCGGAUCGUAAAACUCUGUUAUUAGGGAAGAACAAAUGUGGAAGUAACUAUGCACGUCUUGACGGUACCUAAUCAGAAAGCCACGGCUAACUACGUG